GACCCAGUGGCGGAUGGUCCGCACCCGCUGCCGUUCCGCAGUUCUCGAGUAUGUGAUGCGGGGGUUGACGUUGCUCGUUCGAACCGAGCCUGGGUCG
Mycena galopus ATCC 62051 is the source of this 97-nucleotide non-coding RNA. The record is from the annotation of a GenBank genome assembly. NCBI's taxonomy places the organism in Eukaryota, Fungi, Basidiomycota, Agaricomycetes, Agaricales, Mycenaceae.